ACACGAUCCUGAAAAAAAAAAAUCUAGCCUCCAUCUUCUUUAGGUCCUCGUUUCUGGUUCUUCUUUCCUUUAUCGUUUCGCUUCCGAGGUUCAAUUACUCGAUUCAAUUCACCUAAGAAUACGCGUUGUGGAUCUGCUAAUCCCCGUUUGAAUUCGGAGAACAUUUGUGGUCAGCGGCGGAGGUUAAGAGAGAGGAUGAGUGCUAGGAUGACUUUGGCUUAUUUGCGGCGGAGGAUUUGGCUAGACUUAGUGUCUUGCUUAGUGAUUGGCGAUGGUGGAUGGCUCUUUUAAACGUGUCGAGAGAGUUGAGAGAGGAGUUAAAAGUGUGGCUAUUUGACUGCCUCUGAUUUGUGUUCUGAUCUAUGUUUCCCGGUGAGGAAUUCUUCAUCCAUCACCAGUUUGCUUGUGAAGCUCCUUGAUGCGAGAACGGGGAAAACCAAGGUAGCCGCCGGUGCUGUGUUACCUCAAGACAAUAACACCUUGCUCUGGAACGCUGUUAUCUUCGGUCCAGAUGAUACACCUUGGGAUGGAGUCUAUGCAGAUGGAAGUAUUUGUCUUGACAUCUUACAGAACCAAUGGAGUCCUAUUUAUGAUGUUGCAGCAAUCCUUACAUCUAUCCAUAGGUAUAUAUAAUCAAUCUUUUGUGAAGCGUGGGGAAUCGCGAUUCCGGAAAAGGUUAAUCUGGAAGCUCAAAAGAAUCGCAAGAUUCCGAUCUGGAAACGUCUGAGAAAUGAAAUGGAAGCGUCUAACAAUAUGACCGAAGCACUUGUGAAGUGAAUUGAAUAUUUGUAUGUUGAUUGUUCAAUUUUGAUUCCAUGAGAUGAAAGAAUUUUGAGUCUAAAUAUCCAAGAAAACAAAGAAAUUCUUUUAUCCAAAAGAAUAAAAACUGCCAUAGACGGCUGCAAGCAGAGAAACGAAGACGAAGGAAGCUACUAGGUUUUUAAGUAUACCAUGUGGCUUGUUUAUUUUCAUUUUUCAAUUGAAAACAAUAUAUAUUUUUAAACCUGUAUUUAUGGGCCACAAAAAACGUAUACAUAAGGAAGUAUUGUUUAUUUUG
Long non-coding RNA from Camelina sativa (false flax), 1057 nucleotides. RefSeq lists it as uncharacterized. Lineage: Eukaryota; Viridiplantae; Streptophyta; Magnoliopsida; Brassicales; Brassicaceae. The record is from RefSeq and is a predicted model, not a curated record.